This 845-nucleotide ribosomal RNA is filed under the name uncultured Actinomycetales bacterium. RNAcentral's name for it is "bacterial SSU rRNA". It matches the Rfam family "Bacterial small subunit ribosomal RNA", at positions 46 to 906 of the family's 1533-position model. Lineage: Bacteria; Bacillati; Actinomycetota; Actinomycetes; Actinomycetales. The record is from RNAcentral.
GCUUAACACAUGCAAGUCGAGGGAUGAAACUACUUCGGUAGUGAAUUAGCGGCGAACGGGUGAGGAACACGUGAGGAAUCUGCCUUCUACACUGGGAUAACUCCGGGAAACCGGGGCUAAUACCGGAUAUGAAACUUGGUGGCAUCACCGAGUUUGGAAAGUUUUUCGGUAGAAGAUGACCUCGCGGCCUAUCAUUUUGUUGGUGAGGUAAUGGCUCACCAAGGCGACGACGGGUAGCCGGCCUGAGAGGGCGACCGGCCACACUGGGACUGAGACACGGCCCAGACUCCUACGGGAGGCAGCAGUGGGGAAUAUUGGGCAAUGGAGGAAACUCUGACCCAGCGACGCCGCGUGCGGGAUGAAGGCCUUCGGGUUGUAAACCGCUUUCAGUAGGGAAGAAGCGAAAGUGACGGUACCUACAGAAGAAGCACCGGCUAACUAUGUGCCAGCAGCCGCGGUAAUACAUAGGGUGCAAGCGUUGUCCGGAAUUAUUGGGCGUAAAGAGCUCGUAGGUGGUUCGUUACGUCGGAUGUGAAAAUCUGGGGCUCAACCCCAGACCUGCAUCCGAUACGGUCGAGCUAGAGUUUGGUAGGGGAGACUGGAAUUCCUGGUGUAGCGGUGGAAUGCGCAGAUAUCAGGAGGAACACCAAUGGCGAAGGCAGGUCUCUGGGCCAAUACUGACACUGAGGAGCGAAAGCGUGGGGAGCGAACAGGAUUAGAUACCCUGGUAGUCCACGCCGUAAACGGUGGGCGCUAGUUGUGGGAACCUUCCACGGUUUCUGCGACGCAGCUAACGCAUUAAGCGCCCCGCCUGGGGAGUACGAUCACAAGAUUAAAACUCAAAU